Molecule: ribosomal RNA, 445 nt
Filed under: uncultured bacterium
Lineage: Bacteria
Description: SSU rRNA
Rfam family: Bacterial small subunit ribosomal RNA
Source: RNAcentral
AGAAUGAACGCUGGCGGCAUGCCUAACACAUGCAAGUCGAACGAGACCUUCGGGUCUAGUGGCGCACGGGUGCGUAACGCGUGGGAAUCUACCCUUGGGUUCGGAAUAACAGUUAGAAAUGACUGCUAAUACCGGAUGAUGACGUAAGUCCAAAGAUUUAUCGCCCAGGGAUGAGCCCGCGUAGGAUUAGCUAGUUGGUGUGGUAAAGGCGCACCAAGGCGACGAUCCUUAGCUGGUCUGAGAGGAUGAUCAGCCACACUGGGACUGAGACACGGCCCAGACUCCUACGGGAGGCAGCAGUGGGGAAUAUUGGACAAUGGGCGAAAGCCUGAUCCAGCAAUGCCGCGUGAGUGAUGAAGGCCUUAGGGUUGUAAAGCUCUUUACCCGGGAUGAUAAUGACAGUACCGGGAGAAUAAGCUCCGGCUAACUCCGCGCCAGCAGCCGC